CGGCAUAUCAAAGAACCCCAAUUAUUCAAUUUUUGAUGAAAUCACACAAAGUUCAAUUUUGGACCCUUUGGGCCCCUUAUUCCUAAACUGUAAGGACCAAAACUCCCAAAAUCAAACCCAACCUUCCUUUUAUGGUCAUAAACCUUGUGUUUAAAUUUCAUAGAUUUCUAUUUACUUAUACUAAAGUUAUGGUGCAAAAACCAAAAAUAAUGCUUAAUUGGGCCCCUUUUUGGCCCCUAGUUCAUAAACUGUUGUGACCUCAACUCCAAAAAUCAAUCCCAACCUUCCUUUUGUGGUCAUAAACCUUGUGUUAAAAUUUCAUUGAUUUCUAUUUACUUAAACUAAAGUUAUUGUGCGAAAACCAAGAAUAAUGCUUAUUUGGGCCCUUUUUUGGCCCCUAAUUCUUAAACUGUUGGAACCAAAACUCCCAAAAUCAUCCCACCUUCUUUUGUGGUCAUAAACCUUAUGUCAAAAUUUCAUAGAUUUCUAUUUACUUAAACUAAAGUUAUAGUGCGAAAACCAAGAAAAUGCUUAUUUGGGCCCUGUUGACCCUAAUUCCUAAAAUGUUGGGACUAAAACUCCCAAAAUCAAUCCCAACCUUCCUUUUGUGGUCAUAAACCUUGUGUUAAAAUUUCAUAGAUUUCUAUUCACUUUUACUAAAGUUAGAGUGCGAAAACUAAAAGUAUUCGGACGACGACGACGCCGACGACGCAGACGACGAUGCCAACGUGAUAGCAAUAUACGACGAAAAUUUUUUCAAAUUUUGCGGUCGUAUAAAAAAAUUUA
RNAcentral lists this long non-coding RNA (786 nucleotides) under Mytilus galloprovincialis (Mediterranean mussel). The record is from RNAcentral. Lineage: Eukaryota; Metazoa; Mollusca; Bivalvia; Mytilida; Mytilidae.